UUGGGCGUAAGCGCGCGCAGGCGGUUUCUUAAGUCUGAUGUGAAAGCCCACGGCUUAACCGUGGAGGGUCAUUGGAAACUGGGAGACUUGAGUGCAGAAGAGGAAAGUGGAAUUCCAAGUGUAGCGGUGAAAUGCGUAGAGAUUUGGAGGAACACCAGUGGCGAAGGCGACUUUCUGGUCUGCAACUGACGCUGAGGCGCGAAAGCAUGGGGAGCAAACAGGAUUAGAUACCCUGGUAGUCCAUGCCGUAAACGAUGAGUGCUAAGUGUUAGGGGGUUUCCGCCCCUUAGUGCUGCAGCUAACGCAUUAAGCACUCCGCCUGGGGAGUACGACCGCAAGGUUGAAACUCAAAGGAAUUGACGGGGGCCCGCACAAGCGGUGGAGCAUGUGGUUUAAUUCGAAGCAACGCGAAGAACCUUACCAGGUCUUGACAUCCCAGUGACCACUCUAGAGAUAGAGUUUUCCCUUCGGGGACAUUGGUGACAGGUGGUGCAUGGUUGUCGUCAGCUCGUGUCGUGAGAUGUUGGGUUAAGUCCCGCAACGAGCGCAACCCUUGAUCUUAGUUGCCAUCAUUUAGUUGGGCACUCUAAGGUGACUGCCGGUGACAAACCGGAGGAAGGUGGGGAUGA
RNAcentral lists this ribosomal RNA (629 nucleotides) under uncultured bacterium. RNAcentral describes it as "bacterial SSU rRNA". It matches the Rfam family "Bacterial small subunit ribosomal RNA", at positions 554 to 1182 of the family's 1533-position model. The record is from RNAcentral.